Molecule: ribosomal RNA, 596 nt
Filed under: Trichoderma asperellum
Lineage: Eukaryota; Fungi; Ascomycota; Sordariomycetes; Hypocreales; Hypocreaceae
Description: eukaryotic LSU rRNA
Rfam family: 5.8S ribosomal RNA (bases 207-360)
Source: RNAcentral
ACACUCGCACCCUUCAGAAAUUACCUAGUUACAACUCCCAAACCCAAUGUGAACGUUACCAAACUGUUGCCUCGGCGGGGUCACGCCCCGGGUGCGUCGCAGCCCCGGAACCAGGCGCCCGCCGGAGGAACCAACCAAACUCUUUCUGUAGUCCCCUCGCGGACGUAUUUCUUUACAGCUCUGAGCAAAAAUUCAAAAUGAAUCAAAACUUUCAACAACGGAUCUCUUGGUUCUGGCAUCGAUGAAGAACGCAGCGAAAUGCGAUAAGUAAUGUGAAUUGCAGAAUUCAGUGAAUCAUCGAAUCUUUGAACGCACAUUGCGCCCGCCAGUAUUCUGGCGGGCAUGCCUGUCCGAGCGUCAUUUCAACCCUCGAACCCCUCCGGGGGAUCGGCGUUGGGGAUCGGGGCCCCUCACACGGGUGCCGGCCCCUAAAUACAGUGGCGGUCUCGCCGCAGCCUCUCCUGCGCAGUAGUUUGCACAACUCGCACCGGGAGCGCGGCGCGUCCACGUCCGUAAAACACCCAACUUUCUGAAAUGUUGACCUCGGAUCAGGUAGGAAUACCCGCUGAACUUAAGCAUAUCAAUAAACGGAGGAA